GGAUUAGGCAUGCAAGUCGAACGAGGAUAUAUCCUUCGGGAAAAAACCGAGUGGCGAAAGGGUGAGUAAUGCAUAGAUAACAUACCUUUAGGAUAAGAAUAGCUUUGUGAAAACGAAGAUAAUGCUUAAUAAAACAAGGAAAAAAAGUCUUUCUUUGUCAAAGGGGGGGCAGUAAAAUGCCUUUUGCCUAAAGAGUGGUUUAUGUCUUAUCAGCUUGUUGGUGGGGUAAUGGCCUACCAAGGCGAAGACGGGUAGCCGGCCUUAGAGGGUGGUCGGCCACACUGGGACUGAGACACUGCCCAGACUCCUACGGGAGGCUGCAGUCGAGAAUCUUUCGCAAUGCCCGAAAGGGUGACGAAGCGACGCCGCGUGAGUGAAGAAGGCCUUCGGGUCGUAAAACUCUGUCAGGGGUUAAGAAAGGUAAGCUUGAGAAUAUCUGGCUUAUUUGACAAAAGCCCCAAAGGAAGCCACGGCUAACUCUGUGCCAGCAGCCGCGGUAAUACAGAGGUGGCGAGCGUUGUUCGGAAUUAUUGGGCGUAAAGAGCACGUAGGUGGUUUUGUAAGUCAGGUGUGAAAGCCUUCUGUUCAAAGGAAGAACUGCAUCUGAAACUGCAAAUCUUGAGUAUAGGAGGGGAGAGUGGAACUUCUGGUGGAGCGGUGAAAUGCGUAGAUAUCAGAAGGAACGUCGGCGGCGAAAGCGACUCUCUGGCCUAUUACUGACACUGAGUGUGCGAAAGUUAGGGGAGCAAACGGGAUUAGAUACCCCGGUAGUCCUAACCGUAAACGAUGGGCACUAAGUAGAGGGGUUU
This 809-nucleotide ribosomal RNA is filed under the name uncultured Candidatus Scalindua sp. Its description in RNAcentral is "bacterial SSU rRNA". It matches the Rfam family "Bacterial small subunit ribosomal RNA", at positions 46 to 831 of the family's 1533-position model. The record is from RNAcentral. Lineage: Bacteria; Pseudomonadati; Planctomycetota; Candidatus Brocadiia; Candidatus Brocadiales; Candidatus Scalinduaceae.